GGAAGGUGCUGCCGAAUGGAUGGCAAGCAGUUUUGAAAACUGUAGUACGGCAGCGAUGUCGUAGGAGUUCGAUUCUUCCACCUUCCU
RNAcentral lists this transfer RNA (87 nucleotides) under Kamptonema sp. SIO1D9. Its description in RNAcentral is "tRNA-Ser". It matches the Rfam family "tRNA". Rfam says of the family: Transfer RNA (tRNA) molecules are approximately 80 nucleotides in length. Their secondary structure includes four short double-helical elements and three loops (D, anti-codon, and T loops). The record is from RNAcentral. Lineage: Bacteria; Bacillati; Cyanobacteriota; Cyanophyceae; Oscillatoriales; Microcoleaceae. RNAcentral also lists the same sequence under 1 other name.